RNAcentral lists this unclassified non-coding RNA (240 nucleotides) under soil metagenome. Its description in RNAcentral is "partial contains 5.8S ribosomal RNA, internal transcribed spacer 2, and large subunit ribosomal RNA". The record is from RNAcentral.
AACCAUAGAAACCUGCGGAGUACCUGCGGAGGGAUCAUUAUAGUAUAUGGAAUCUCCAUUCUAUAAACCCACUCUGCGUAUCUUGUAACUGCUGCUUCCAUGGGACUUGGUUCCGCCACACCGGCUUCACGGCUGGUGAGCGCCCAUGGAAGGAGAAACAAAACUCUUCUUUGAAAUGUAGUCAGUCUGAACAAGUUUUUAUAAACGUUAAAACUUUUAACAAUGGAUCUCAGAUCGGAA